Molecule: long non-coding RNA, 482 nt
Organism: Zingiber officinale
Lineage: Eukaryota; Viridiplantae; Streptophyta; Magnoliopsida; Zingiberales; Zingiberaceae
Exons: 3
Source: RefSeq, a predicted model, not a curated record
CUCCGACUAAACAGUUCAGGUAUUGGAGAUGAGGGUGCAAGGGUUAUUGCAGAUAUGCUGAAAGAAAAUCAAACUUUACGUGUACUGGAACUUAACAAUAAUAUGAUUGAAUAUUCUGGUUUUGCAAGUCUUGCUGGAGCACUAGUUGAGAAUAAGGCAAUUCGAUCUAUACAUCUCAAGUUAAUAAGACUUACACACACUUAGAUUUUCUAUCCAUGCAGUUCUUUCUUGCAGAUUUAAUUUCUUCAUCAGAUCUGUUGGCUUUCCAGUAUUUAUUGAUUGUACUACUUCUCAGCAAUUAUGUAAAACUAUAUUUCUUCUUGUUUAGGAAAAAUAACACUUCUAGAUAUUGGCAACAAUGAGAUUGGUCCCAAAGGCGCCUUUAGCAUCGCUGAGUUUGUUAAGAAAACUAAGUCCUUGCUACGGCUGAAUCUUUACAUGAAUGACAUUGGCGAUGCGGUGUGGUUAUUGACUAUUGUUGC